UACACAAGAUACAACAAGUGAAAUAAAAAGAGUACUUUACUAACUAUUACAUUAGUUCGUUCUUUUCAUUUACAUCAUUUUCUUUAAACGAAUACAUUUUUCAUCCAAAAUACAUAGUUCUCCAAAUCCUCACCUACAAGGAAUCUCUCUCUCAAUACAUAGGCGACUAAUGCAAAAAGGAAAGCUACUAUACUACCACGGUCUCACUGAUCGGGCGCGAUGCCCUUGCCGCGGUCCUCUCUCUGCAGCC
RNAcentral lists this long non-coding RNA (250 nucleotides) under Ananas comosus (pineapple). RNAcentral's name for it is "long non-coding RNA (ACOM_LNC042247)". The record is from RNAcentral. Lineage: Eukaryota; Viridiplantae; Streptophyta; Magnoliopsida; Poales; Bromeliaceae.